Alligator mississippiensis (American alligator) is the source of this 72-nucleotide transfer RNA. It matches the Rfam family "tRNA". Rfam says of the family: Transfer RNA (tRNA) molecules are approximately 80 nucleotides in length. The record is from Rfam. Lineage: Eukaryota; Metazoa; Chordata; Crocodylia; Alligatoridae.
GGGAGCAUAGCUCAGUGGCAGAGCAUUUGAGUGCAGAUCAAGAGGUCCCCAGUUCAAAAAUGGGUGCUCCCU